This is a long non-coding RNA of Tupaia belangeri chinensis (Chinese tree shrew), 526 nucleotides long. RefSeq lists it as uncharacterized. NCBI's taxonomy places the organism in Eukaryota, Metazoa, Chordata, Mammalia, Scandentia, Tupaiidae. The transcript has 3 exons. The record is from RefSeq and is a predicted model, not a curated record.
CUAGAGCAGAAAUACGGCUACUACCACUGCAAGGACUGCAACAUCCGCUGGGAGAGCGCCUACGUGUGGUGCGUCCAGGGCACGAACAAGGUGUAUUUCAAACAGUUCUGCAGGACUUGUCAGAAGUCGUACAACCCUUACCGGGUAGAGGACAUCACCUGUCAAAGAUGUAAACAAACAAGGUGUUCCUGCCCAGUAAGACUGCGCCACGUGGACCCCAAACGGCCCCACCGCCAGGACCUGUGUGGGAGGUGCAAAGGCAAACGCCUGUCCUGCGACAGCACUUUCAGCUUCAAGUACAUCAUCUGAGUCGAUGUUAGCGGCACAGUCCCCAGGGACAUCCACUGGGAGCGCCCGCAGCGUGCCUGUACCCCUGCUCCUCCCGGCCCUUCCCCGCCAAGUGGCCAAAGGCAGUGUCUUCUGACAAGGCCUUCAAAUAAAGGUAUUGCAAAGUAAGCCAAACUGCAGAAACUCUUGUCUAUUCAAAGACAAUUUUUAGGAGGGGCCAGCAGGUGGCAUGGUGGUU